Pezoporus flaviventris is the source of this 391-nucleotide long non-coding RNA. RefSeq lists it as uncharacterized. The record is from RefSeq and is a predicted model, not a curated record. NCBI's taxonomy places the organism in Eukaryota, Metazoa, Chordata, Aves, Psittaciformes, Psittacidae. The transcript is spliced from 3 exons.
AGUACUAUACAGAAUAAUAAAUUAAUAUUUACUUUAAUGGCACGGAAGCAUCAGCUGUUAAACUAGCCACAGAAACCAUGGCUUCUUUUUAAACUCUAGGUGAACACCAGCUAGAGUAUUUUUGUUAAUCAACAUAGAAUUAUGCUCCUCAAAACACUCACACAUCAGGGCAGGCGCAAACUAUCCAUUUGAAUAUGUGAUGAAAGGAUCUGCUUCUUCAGUCACACCUUGAGUCAACAAAAAGGAUGGGAUGAGAUCUACUGUCAAAUCGAGUUCAACUGUGAAAUCUGUGAGGAGUCCCACAAGGAGGAGUAUUACGGAGGGACAGAUAUGUGAACUUCACAACACAUGCCAGUAAGGUUACUUCAAAAUGAAAUUAAAUCACGAUGGA